This 255-nucleotide long non-coding RNA is filed under the name Nicotiana benthamiana. Its description in RNAcentral is "long non-coding RNA (NBEN_LNC017182)". Lineage: Eukaryota; Viridiplantae; Streptophyta; Magnoliopsida; Solanales; Solanaceae. The record is from RNAcentral.
AAAUAAAGUUUAUUCAUUUUUUCUUUUUAAAGUUCUACGCACUCGGUGAUUCUUUUAAAAAAAGGGUAGUCCGGUGCACAAAGUAUGUCGCAUUCAUGUAGGGUUCGAGGAAGGGCAGCACCCCAUGGGAUGUAAUUUAGACAGUUUACUUUAAUGCAAGUAUUAAUGAUUGCUUUCACGGUUCGGACUCAUGACUUAUAGGUCAUACUGAGACAACUUUAUUGUUGGUUCAAGGUUUUACUUGGUGAUUCUACC